This 253-nucleotide ribosomal RNA is filed under the name uncultured bacterium. RNAcentral's name for it is "partial 16S ribosomal RNA". It matches the Rfam family "Bacterial small subunit ribosomal RNA", at positions 524 to 776 of the family's 1533-position model. The record is from RNAcentral.
UACGUAGGGGGCAAGCGUUAUCCGGAAUUACUGGGUGUAAAGGGAGCGUAGACGGUAAUGUAAGUCUGGAGUGAAAGGCGGGGGCCCAACCCCCGGACUGCUCUGGAAACUAUGUUACUAGAGUGCAGGAGAGGUAAGCGGAAUUCCUAGUGUAGCGGUGAAAUGCGCAGAUAUUAGGAGGAACACCAGUGGCGAAGGCGGCUUACUGGACUGUAACUGACGUUGAGGCUCGAAAGCGUGGGGAGCAAACAGG